UGGGGAAUAUUGGACAAUGGGCGCAAGCCUGAUCCAGCCAUGCCGCGUGAGUGAUGAAGGCCCUAGGGUUGUAAAGCUCUUUCAGCGAGGAGGAUAAUGACGUUACUCGCAGAAGAAGCCCCGGCUAACUUCGUGCCAGCAGCCGCGGUAAUACGAAGGGGGCUAGCGUUGUUCGGAAUCACUGGGCGUAAAGCGCACGUAGGCGGACUUUUAAGUCAGGGGUGAAAUCCCGGGGCUCAACCUCGGAACUGCCUUUGAUACUGGAAGUCUGGAGUCCGAGAGAGGUGAGUGGAACUCCGAGUGUAGAGGUGAAAUUCGUAGAUAUUCGGAAGAACACCAGUGGCGAAGGCGGCUCACUGGCUCGGUACUGACGCUGAGGUGCGAAAGCGUGGUGAGCAAACAGGAUUAGAUACCCUGGUAGUCCACGCCGUAAACGAUGGAAGCUAGCCGUCAGGGUGCAUGCAUCUUGGUGGCGCAGUUAACGCAUUAAGCUUCCCGCCUGGGGAGUACGGUCGCAAGAUUAAAACUUAAAGGAAUUGACGGGGUCAUAGCUGUUUCCU
Molecule: ribosomal RNA, 560 nt
Filed under: uncultured bacterium
Lineage: Bacteria
Description: partial 16S ribosomal RNA
Rfam family: Bacterial small subunit ribosomal RNA
Source: RNAcentral